RNAcentral lists this ribosomal RNA (253 nucleotides) under uncultured bacterium. Its description in RNAcentral is "partial 16S ribosomal RNA". It matches the Rfam family "Bacterial small subunit ribosomal RNA", at positions 524 to 776 of the family's 1533-position model. The record is from RNAcentral.
UACGUAUGGAGCAAGCGUUAUCCGGAUUUACUGGGUGUAAAGGGAGCGCAGGCGGCGCGCCAAGUCUGGUGUGAAACCCCGGGGCUCAACCCCGGGACUGCAUUGGAAACUGGCGGGCUGGAGUGUCGGAGGGGCAGGCGGAAUUCCUGGUGUAGCGGUGAAAUGCGUAGAUAUCAGGAGGAACACCGGUGGCGAAGGCGGCCUGCUGGACGACAACUGACGCUGAGGCUCGAAAGCGUGGGGAGCAAACAGG